GAUAUGAUUGGUGGUGUGGGUAUAACUGGUGGUAAUGGGACAAAAGGAGGAGGAUACACAAUUGGUGGUUUCACCACUGGUGGCUUAGGUACAUAAGGUGGGGUCACUGGCACCACUACUGGUGGCUUUGGUACAUAAGGUGGGGUCACUGGCACCACUGGUGGCUUAGGGACAUAGGGUGGUGACACUGGUGGCUUAGGGACAUAGGGUGGUGACACUGGUGGCUUAGGGACAUAGGGUGGUGACACUGGUGGCUUAGGGACAUAGGGUGGUUUGACCACUGGUGGUUUAGGGUAUGGAGGUGGUUUAACAACUGGGGGUUUUGGGACAUAAGGUGGAUGCACUAUUGGUGGUUUAACAAUGGGUGGUUUUGGAACAUGGGGUGGAUGCACUAUUGGUGGUUUAACAGUGGGUGGUUUUGGAACAUGAGGUGGAUGCACUAUUGGUGGCUUAACAAUGGGGGGUUUUGGGACAUGGGGUGGAUGCACCACAGGGGGUUUAGGAACAUGGGGUGGUUUUGGUGAUGAUUGUGGUGGUGGACAGGGUUGUGGCUUGCCAUGAUAUGGAGGUUGUUUUGGUGCUUUGUGAACUGGUGGCUUCACUAUAUUGUGG
This 612-nucleotide long non-coding RNA is filed under the name Lupinus angustifolius (narrow-leaved blue lupine). RNAcentral's name for it is "long non-coding RNA (LANG_LNC001826)". Lineage: Eukaryota; Viridiplantae; Streptophyta; Magnoliopsida; Fabales; Fabaceae. The record is from RNAcentral.